This 516-nucleotide ribosomal RNA is filed under the name Cerrophidion wilsoni (Honduras montane pitviper). Its description in RNAcentral is "partial 16S ribosomal RNA". It matches the Rfam family "Bacterial large subunit ribosomal RNA", at positions 1811 to 2604 of the family's 2925-position model. The record is from RNAcentral. Lineage: Eukaryota; Metazoa; Chordata; Lepidosauria; Squamata; Viperidae.
AAACAUAACCUUUAGCCAAACAAGUAUUAAAGGCAACGCCUGCCCAGUGAAAAUUAAACGGCCGCGGUAUCCUAACCGUGCAAAGGUAGCAUAAUCAUUUGUCUAUUAAUUGUAGACCUGUAUGAAAGGCAAAAUGAGAGCCCAACUGUCUCUUAUAACAAAUCAAUUAAACUGAUCUCCUAGUACAAAAGCUAGAAUACUAACAUAAGACCAGAAGACCCUGUGAAGCUUUAACUAACCUAUUAAACCCAAUAAUAACUACUUUCGGUUGGGGCGACCUUGGAAUAAAAAAGAACUUCCAACAUAUGACUCCCUCAUAAAACAAGGCCAACAAGCCAACACUAGACCCAGUAUAACUGAUAAUUGAAAUAAGUUACUCCAGGGAUAACAGCGCUAUCUUCUUUAAGAGCCCAUAUCAAAAAGAAGGUUUACGACCUCGAUGUUGGAUCAGGACACCCCAGUAAUGCAGCCGUUACUAAAGGUUCGUUUGUUCAACGAUUAACAGUCCCACGUGAU